This 250-nucleotide ribosomal RNA is filed under the name uncultured bacterium. RNAcentral describes it as "partial 16S ribosomal RNA". It matches the Rfam family "Bacterial small subunit ribosomal RNA", at positions 355 to 622 of the family's 1533-position model. The record is from RNAcentral.
UAACGAAUAUUCCGCAAUGGGCGAAAGCCUGACGGAGCAAUGCCGCGUGUGGGAUGAAGCGGUUUCGCCGUGUAAACCACUGUCAGAAGAUAGAAAAGAUGAUCAUCUUCAAAGGAAGGGGCGACUAACUCUGUGCCAGCAGUCGCGGUAAUACAGAGGCCCCGAGCGUUAGUCGGAAUCACUGGGCUUAAAGGGUGCGUAGGCGGACUUGUAAGUGCUUUGUGAAAGCCCUGGGCUCAACCCAGGAACC